UGGGGAAUAUUGCGCAAUGGGCGAAAGCCUGACCCAGCAACGCCGCGUGUGGGAUGAAGGCCCUCGGGUCGUAAACCACUGUCAGGAGGAAAGAAAAGUCGGCCGGAUAAUACUCGGUCGACCUGACGGUACCUCCAAAGGAAGCACCGGCUAGCUCCGUGCCAGCAGCCGCGGUAAUACGGAGGGUGCAAGCGUUGUUCGGAAUUACUGGGCGUAAAGCGCGUGUAGGUGGUCGAGUAAGUCGAAUGUGAAAGCCCCGGGCUCAACCCGGGAAGUGCAUCCGAAACUGCUCGACUAGAGUCCCGGAGAGGAAGGCAGAAUUCCCAAUGUAGGGGUGAAAUCCGUAGAUAUUGGGAGGAAUACCGGUGGCGAAGGCGGCCUUCUGGACGGUGACUGACACUCAGACGCGAAAGCGUGGGGAGCAAACAGGAUUAGAUACCCCCGUAGUCCCUGAGCGGGCUGGCAAGGCGCAU
This 473-nucleotide ribosomal RNA is filed under the name uncultured bacterium. RNAcentral's name for it is "bacterial SSU rRNA". It matches the Rfam family "Bacterial small subunit ribosomal RNA", at positions 355 to 825 of the family's 1533-position model. The record is from RNAcentral.